GCCAGUGUGGCUCAGUGGACAGAGCGUCGGCCUGUGGACUGAAGGGUCCUGGGUUCGAUUCCCGGUCAGGGCA
This 73-nucleotide transfer RNA is filed under the name Myotis davidii. It matches the Rfam family "tRNA". Rfam says of the family: Transfer RNA (tRNA) molecules are approximately 80 nucleotides in length. Their secondary structure includes four short double-helical elements and three loops (D, anti-codon, and T loops). Lineage: Eukaryota; Metazoa; Chordata; Mammalia; Chiroptera; Vespertilionidae. The record is from Rfam by way of RNAcentral.